UACGGAGGGUGCAAGCGUUAAUCGGAAUUACUGGGCGUAAAGCGCACGCAGGCGGUUUGUUAAGUUAGAUGUGAAAUCCCCGGGCUCAACCCGGGAACUGCAUCCGAUACUGGCAGGCUCGAAUCCGGGAGAGGGAUGUGGAAUUCCAGGUGUAGCGGUGAAAUGCGUAGAUAUCUGGAGGAACACCGGUGGCGAAGGCGGCAUCCUGGACCGGCAUUGACGCUGAGGCGCGAAAGCCAGGGGAGCAAACGGG
This 253-nucleotide ribosomal RNA is filed under the name uncultured bacterium. RNAcentral describes it as "partial 16S ribosomal RNA". It matches the Rfam family "Bacterial small subunit ribosomal RNA", at positions 524 to 776 of the family's 1533-position model. The record is from RNAcentral.